ACUUCAUCUUUAUAUGUUUCAUUCCCCCCAAUUCAUUCUCCCAAAUUGUAGCCUCCCUCCCACGGUCCCACCUCACCUCCGAUCUACCGCCCGUCCCACCUGCGUCCACCUUCGAUCCAUCGCAGCCGCUCCACUUCUGUCCCACCCUUUUUGACCGACAACCCCAAUUGCAGCCACCACCACCGCUCGCAACCACUACAACCACUCGCAUCCACCACCGUCGUUCGUCACCACCACCAUGCAUUUCAACAUCUUCUGAAUGGAGAUGCACCAAGCAAAUCAAGUGCCUCGAGAAUGGUCUCGAGUCACGGAUCACCUUGUCAUAAAAGUUCCUCGUCAUAAACACAAGCCAAUGACACCACGAAGACUUCAGAUUAUCGUCCACAAGUACUUGAAGUCGACCCAUUUGUACAAAUCCAACCUCCGGGAUAUGUAGUGCAACCUCAAGGCAAUUAUAUGAGUUUGGCAGUUCUUUGAGUCGCCCAAUUCUAGUGCUUUUUUCAAUCCACAAAAAAUCAUUGGAUCACGGUGUAAAACACUUAUUGAAGACAUUAAAAAAACGUAAAAGAAAUACGUGAGCUUCAUUCUAAAAAAGUGUUCUAUCUUGCACCAUACUUAGCCGGUAAACAUUGGUUGCUUAUAAUUGUUUACCCGGGCUUCAAAUUUGGCUAUAUUGUUGAUUCUAUAAAUGAAGGGAAGACCCAUAAAAAUUACAUGCUCGUCAAGAUCAUUGAAGAAGUUUUUAAGAUUAAUUUUAAGUGGCACAUGUCACAGUGCAAACAACAGAAAGGCAAUUAGGAAUAUGGGUAUAUGGUAAUCAAACAUAUGAAGAGUUUAUCGACUCUAUACAAUAUGAUUUGGUUAACCGACUUUGGAAUGAAGAAGGGUAUUUUGAAGAAUCUUAAAUUGAGAAUUUAGUGGUAGAUUUAAUGUCGGGAUUUAUUAAAAAGAUGUUUUGAUCUUGUAAGCAUUAGUUUGUGUUUCAUACUUUUGUAAUUCCGUAUACUUGAACGGGUUGUUGGGUUGUUUAAUACUAGUUAACUUUUGUCGUGA
This is a long non-coding RNA of Helianthus annuus (common sunflower), 1053 nucleotides long. RefSeq lists it as uncharacterized. The transcript is spliced from 7 exons. The record is from RefSeq and is a predicted model, not a curated record. Lineage: Eukaryota; Viridiplantae; Streptophyta; Magnoliopsida; Asterales; Asteraceae.